GAUGAACGCUGGCGGCGUGCCUAAUACAUGCAAGUCGAGCGAACAGACGAGGAGCUUGCUCCUCUGACGUUAGCGGCGGACGGGUGAGUAACACGUGGAUAACCUACCUAUAAGACUGGGAUAACUUCGGGAAACCGGAGCUAAUACCGGAUAAUAUAUUGAACCGCAUGGUUCAAUAGUGAAAGACGGUUUUGCUGUCACUUAUAGAUGGAUCCGCGCCGCAUUAGCUAGUUGGUAAGGUAACGGCUUACCAAGGCAACGAUGCGUAGCCGACCUGAGAGGGUGAUCGGCCACACUGGAACUGAGACACGGUCCAGACUCCUACGGGAGGCAGCAGUAGGGAAUCUUCCGCAAUGGGCGAAAGCCUGACGGAGCAACGCCGCGUGAGUGAUGAAGGUCUUCGGAUCGCAAAACUCUGUUAUUAGGGAAGAACAAAUGUGUAAGUAACUAUGCACGUCUUGACGGUACCUAAUCAGAAAGCCACGGCUAACUACGU
RNAcentral lists this ribosomal RNA (496 nucleotides) under uncultured bacterium. RNAcentral describes it as "partial 16S ribosomal RNA". It matches the Rfam family "Bacterial small subunit ribosomal RNA", at positions 28 to 506 of the family's 1533-position model. The record is from RNAcentral.